Molecule: ribosomal RNA, 239 nt
Filed under: uncultured Lactobacillus sp.
Lineage: Bacteria; Bacillati; Bacillota; Bacilli; Lactobacillales; Lactobacillaceae
Description: partial 16S ribosomal RNA
Rfam family: Bacterial small subunit ribosomal RNA
Source: RNAcentral
UAACCUGCCCAAGAGAUCGGGAUAACACCUGGAAACAGAUGCUAAUACCGGAUAACAACAGAUGAUGCCUAUCAACUGUUUAAAAGAUGGUUCUGCUAUCACUCUUGGAUGGACCUGCGGUGCAUUAGCUAGUUGUAGGGUAACGGCCUACCAAGGCGAUGAUGCAUAGCCGAGUUGAGAGACUGAUCGGCCACAUUGGGACUGAGACACGGCCCAAACUCCUACGGGAGGCAGCAGCG